RNAcentral lists this ribosomal RNA (1431 nucleotides) under uncultured organism. Its description in RNAcentral is "16S ribosomal RNA". It matches the Rfam family "Bacterial small subunit ribosomal RNA". The record is from RNAcentral.
GCUUAACACAUGCAAGUCGAGGGGUAACAGGUCCCUUUCGGGAUGCUGACGACCGGCGCACGGGUGAGUUACGCGUAUGCAACCUGCCCAUAGCUGGAGGAUAGCCCGGAGAAAUCCGGAUUAAUACUCCAUAAUAUUUCGAAACCGCAUGAUUUUGAAAUUAAAGUUUCGGCGGCUAUGGAUGGGCAUGCGUGCCAUUAGCUUGUUGGUAAGGUAACGGCUUACCAAGGCUACGAUGGCUAGGGGUUCUGAGAGGAUGAUCCCCCACACUGGUACUGAGACACGGACCAGACUCCUACGGGAGGCAGCAGUGAGGAAUAUUGGUCAAUGGGCGCAAGCCUGAACCAGCCAUGCCGCGUGCAGGAUGAAUGCCCUAUGGGUUGUAAACUGCUUUUGUACAAGAAGAAUCUUUCCGACGUGUCGGGAAUUGACGGUAUUGUACGAAUAAGCAUCGGCUAACUCCGUGCCAGCAGCCGCGGUAAUACGGAGGAUGCAAGCGUUAUCCGGAUUCACUGGGUUUAAUGGGUGCGUAGGCGGGAUAGUAAGUCGAUGGUGAAAGCCUGCAGCUUAACUGUAGAAUUGCCAUUGAUACUGCUAUUCUUGAGUGCAGUUGAAGUAAGCGGAAUGUGUAAUGUAGCGGUGAAAUGCAUAGAUAUCACACAGAACACCAAUUGUGAAAACAGCUUACUAACCUGUAACUGACGCUGAGGCACGAAAGCGUGGGGAGCGAACAGGAUUAGAUACCCUGGUAGUCCACGCUGUAAACUAUGAUCACUCGCUGUUGGCGAUACACAGUCAGCGGCUAAGCGAAAGCAUUAAGUGAUCCACCUGGGGAGUACGUCCGCAAGGAUGAAACUCAAAGGAAUUGACGGGGGCCCGCACAAGCGGAGGAACAUGUGGUUUAAUUCGAUGAUACGCGAGGAACCUUACCUGGGCUUAAAUGCAGCUCGACGGACCGGGAAACUGGUCUUCCUUCGGGCGAACUGCAAGGUGCUGCAUGGUUGUCGUCAACUCGUGCCGUGAGGUGUCGGGUUAAGUCCCAUAACGAGCGCAACCCCUAUUGUUAGUUACCAGCGAGUAAUGUCGGGGACUCUAACGAAACUGCCGGUGUAAACCGAGAGGAAGGUGGGGAUGACGUCAAAUCAGCACAGCCCUUAUGUCCAGGGCUACACACGUGUUACAAUGGCCAGUACAAAGGGCAGCUACCACGCGAGUGGAUGCUAAUCUCGAAAGCUGGUCUCAGUUCGGAUUGAAGUCUACAACUCGACUUCAUGAAGGUGGAUUCGCUAGUAAUCGCGCAUCAGCAAUGGCGCGGUGAAUACGUUCCCGGGCAUUGUACACACCGCCCGUCAAGCCAUGGGAGUCGGGGGUACCUGAAGUCCGUAACCGAAAGGAGCGGCACUAGGGUAAAACCGGCGACUGGGGCUAAGU